Molecule: ribosomal RNA, 327 nt
Filed under: uncultured eukaryote
Lineage: Eukaryota
Description: partial 18S ribosomal RNA
Rfam family: Eukaryotic small subunit ribosomal RNA
Source: RNAcentral
CCCUUAGAUGUUCUGGGCCGCACGCGCGUUACAAUGAAUCGUUCAACAGGUUUUCUUCCUGAGUCGAAAGGCUUGGGUAAUCCUUUAAAUACGGUUCGUGCUAGGGAUAGAUUUUUGCAAUUAUUAAUCUUGAACGAGGAAUAUUUAGUAAACGCAGGUCAUCAGCCUGCAUUGAUUACGUCCCUGCCCUUUGUACGCACCGCCCGUCGCACCAACCGAUUGGAUGUUUUGUUGAAAUAUGUGGAUGUUUUUUGAGUGGAUUAAUUUUCGCUCGAUAGACAGAAACGUAUUAAAACUGAAUAUAUAGAGGAUGGUGAAGUCGUAACA